Non-coding RNA from Gossypium raimondii (Peruvian cotton), 107 nucleotides. Lineage: Eukaryota; Viridiplantae; Streptophyta; Magnoliopsida; Malvales; Malvaceae. The record is from Rfam.
AAUCCAUGAUGAGGACACCUUCUCAAAAGAUCCUUAAAUCUCUCCCAUGCAUCAUAUAAUGUCUCAAAAUCAAUUUGAGCAAAAGAAGAGAUAUCAUUAAUCAACUU